This 21-nucleotide non-coding RNA is filed under the name Mus musculus (house mouse). The record is from RNAcentral. Lineage: Eukaryota; Metazoa; Chordata; Mammalia; Rodentia; Muridae.
UGUAUUUUGUUAGUGUGUUGU